GUUUUAACAAUUCUUUUUCUUUUCAGUCUGUAAUGUUUUGCUUUCACUAUCAGUUUUGCUUCAGUGCUGAAGCGGUUUUUAAUGGAGCAGUUGGAUGGCCUUUCAAUUACGGAGGGUGAGGAAGAGGUGUGGCAAAUAGAUCUGGGGACGGGGGAUUCAGAACUGAGUUUUGAUCUCUGUCUAUUAGGGUGUUUCUUGACUGCUAUUGUUGUCUAGUUCCAAGCAAUAAGGAACACCAUGGCGAAUUUGUGACAUCCAAUGGGGGAGGUCCGAUAACAGAUUUGGGCGAGAAGCAGGCUCUGCUUUGAUUUUAUUAUGAAGUGGAUGUUGAUUGUGUUAUUGAUGGGAGUCCAUGGACAUUUAGUAAUCAUUUGCUUGUAUUACACCGAUUAGUGAAAGGUGAAGAUCAAAUACAAGUUCCCCUUUGUUUUGUGGAUUUUUAGGUUCAUAUCUUUGAUUUACCUUGUGGUUUGUAUUCAGAGAUAAUGGCGAAGCAAUGUGGAAACUUUAUUGGUAUAUUUGUAGACUGUGAUGCUAAAGCUAUUUCGAGAGGAUUUCACAGUCACAUGUGUGUUCGUGUUUGGUUGGAUAUUCGUUUGCCACUAAAUCAACGAAAAAAAUUGGUUAGAUCUCAAAAGUCCAAUUCCAAUAUGAACAGUCGUCUUUGUUUCGUUUUCUUUGUGGUCAUCUAGGACAUGGUGAAAGUUUUUGCCUCUAACGAGUGUAUUUAGGGAAGGAGAUUCUGAUGGAGUGGGAUAUUUCACUGCAAGUGGCUUCUCGCCAGGCGUUGACAGUGAAUAGUUGAUGGCUUCGAGAGGAGGGGAAUUUAAAUAUCCCGCUAUCAGGGGCGGGAUUUGGGGGGAGAAAUAGUGUUGAUUGUGUCAAUCCUGAUUUGAAUUUUGUGAGUAAUGUUAGCACAAAAUUAAGGAUAAACCUAAAGGGAUUUUCAAAUUUUAAGGAUGGUUUAGAUAAGAAAAAUCAAGUGCACCAUGAUGCAGAGAUGGAUGACUCGUGUGAAGAUGCUAAAGAGAGGCCCAUAGACUUUAUUGAUGGGAAAAAAAUGGUCUAGGACUUCUACUUCUGUAUCAAUUGUUCCUAAAGGUGGAAAUGUGGACAAUUUGCACUUUAUUCGGUCGACGAGCUCUGUUAUACAGACCUACUAGGAGCAAUGAAAAUCUUAAGCAGGAACAUCGUGGACUAGGGAAUCAACGAGCUGUUUGGAGACUUCAGCAUAUGUUGAGGAGUAACAAUCCCCAAAUUGUCUUUCUGAUUGAGACAAAAGUUACUACUAGGAGGAUGUAAAGUAUUAGAUGAAGUUGUGGUUUUAUAUUUGGGAUCGAGGUGGACGCCAUGGGUGCUAAAGGUUUCUAUGAGAAUCCAGAUGUGAGAUUUUGACCAGAAUAUUGGGAUUUGCUUCUUCAAUUGGGGUAGGAUCAUAGUUUACCAUGGCUUGCGUUGAGUGAUUUCAACAAGAUUAUUUUAUCAUCUUAAAAGAGCAUUGAUCAUGUUCGUAGUGAGUGAAGAAUGGAGGAGUCUAGGAGUGCUUUACAUGACUGUAAUUUGCUUGAUUUGGGCUAUCAGAGGGUAUGGUUUACAUGGGAACAUGAUCGUUUACCGCAUACAAACAUUAAAGAACAAUUGAAUUGUGCAAUGGGUACACCAUUGUGGAAGAGUUGUUUACCAAUUCAUCAGGUUUCCCACUUAUCUCACUCUAUUUCAGAUUAUUGUCCUCUUUUGAUUACUAUGUUAUCUUUGUUGACUAAUGAAGGGAAAAAUCGAUUCCAACUAUUCCAUUUUGAGGCAUGGUGGGUAUUGGAAUCAAGAUUGGAUGGCGCAGUUUCGUCUCGAUUGGCACUAUUAGGUGAUGGUCUAUGGUGUUGGGGGCAACUUGUGUCUAAGGGAGGUAUCGAGAUCUUCAUAGAUUGAGUGAUCACUCAUAGAAUUGAAUGGAAUGGAUCUGGUUGAUGAAGUUCUACCUAAGAUUUUAGAUGUUAAAGUGGCCUUAACAUGGAGAUUGAUAAAGAGUGUAAUAGCCUCUUUUUCAAUGGUAUUGGAAAUUGUAGUUUUAGAACUCCAUUUUCGUAGUCUGAGUCUGUAAAUCUUAUUAAUUAAUAUUUAUGAGGCUAAUAUAUAAAUAUAUUAAGGUGUGGUCUA
Long non-coding RNA from Gossypium raimondii (Peruvian cotton), 2154 nucleotides. RefSeq lists it as uncharacterized. The record is from RefSeq and is a predicted model, not a curated record. The transcript has 2 exons. Lineage: Eukaryota; Viridiplantae; Streptophyta; Magnoliopsida; Malvales; Malvaceae.